GGGCCCGCACAAGCGGUGGAGCAUGUGGUUUAAUUCGAUGAUACGCGAGGAACCUUACCAGGGCUUAAAUGUAGAACGACCGAUUUGGAAACAAGUCUUCUCUUUGAGCGGUCUACAAGGUGCUGCAUGGUUGUCGUCAGCUCGUGCCGUGAGGUGUCGGGUUAAGUCCCUUAACGAGCGCAACCCCUAUCUCUAGUUGCCAGCGGAUAAUGCCGGGGACUCUAGAGAAACUGCCCGUGCAAACGGUGAGGAAGGUGGGGAUGACGUCAAAUCAUCACGGCCCUUACGUCCUGGGCUACACACGUGCUACAAUGGUCGGUACAGAGGGCAGCUACCACGUGAGUGGAUGCAAAUCUCGAAAGCCGAUUUCAGUUCGGAUUGGAGUCUGCAACUCGACUCUAUGAAGCUGGAAUC
RNAcentral lists this ribosomal RNA (414 nucleotides) under uncultured bacterium. RNAcentral describes it as "bacterial SSU rRNA". It matches the Rfam family "Bacterial small subunit ribosomal RNA", at positions 917 to 1333 of the family's 1533-position model. The record is from RNAcentral.